GCUUUCGUGGUGUAGUGGUCAGCACGCUCAAUAGGUAUUCAAGAGAUACGUGGUUCGAGUCCCGGCGAGGGCA
Molecule: transfer RNA, 73 nt
Filed under: Stegodyphus mimosarum
Lineage: Eukaryota; Metazoa; Arthropoda; Arachnida; Araneae; Eresidae
Rfam family: tRNA
About the family: Transfer RNA (tRNA) molecules are approximately 80 nucleotides in length. Their secondary structure includes four short double-helical elements and three loops (D, anti-codon, and T loops). Further hydrogen bonds mediate the characteristic L-shaped molecular structure. tRNAs have two regions of fundamental functional importance: the anti-codon, which is responsible for specific mRNA codon recognition, and the 3' end, to which the tRNAs corresponding amino acid is attached (by aminoacyl-tRNA synthetases). tRNAs cope with the degeneracy of the genetic code in two manners: having more than one tRNA (with a specific anti-codon) for a particular amino acid; and 'wobble' base-pairing, i.e. permitting non-standard base-pairing at the 3rd anti-codon position.
Source: Rfam by way of RNAcentral